CCUACGGGUGGCAGCAGUGAGGAAUAGUGGUCAAGGGGCGCGAGCCUGAACCAGCCAAGUAGCGUGAAGGAUGACUGCCCUACGGGUUGUAAACUUCUUUUAUAAAGGAAUAAAGUGAGGCACGGGUGCCGUGUUGUAUGUACGUUAUGAAUAAGGAUCGGCUAACUCCGUGCCAGCAGCCGCGGUAAUACGGAGGAUCCGAGCGUUAUCCGGAUUUAUUGGGGGUCAAGGGAGCGUAGAGGGGUUGUUAAGUCAGUUGGGAAAGUUUGCGGCUCCACCGUAAAAUGGCCAUUGAUACUGGCAGUCUUGAGUACAGUUGCGGUCGGCGGAAUUCGUUGUGUCGCGG
Molecule: ribosomal RNA, 346 nt
Filed under: uncultured bacterium
Lineage: Bacteria
Description: partial 16S ribosomal RNA
Rfam family: Bacterial small subunit ribosomal RNA
Source: RNAcentral